CAGAGCCCGCCAGCUGCUGAGCCAGGGCCACACCUGGAGGUGAUUUUAUGCCUCACCUCCAGUAGGCACCUUGGGCUAAUCUCUGGCUCCCUUGCACUAACUCUUGCUCUCACCCAGCUAAUCCGUGCCUCACCCUGGCUUCCCCUGGGGCUGACUGCUAACAGGCAACCCUGCCCACCUGGGGGCUCCAGGCUGUGGCCUGGCUCUGACUGGCUCUUAAUAACUUCUUGUUUACCUAGACUAACUCCUGCCCUCCUGAUCUGUUCCUUUCAGCAGAAACUAACGGCUUGUGGAUUUCUUUCUGACUAACAACAGGUCUAACACUUCUCAUUACUAUUACUAUUAACAGCUUGAUGUCUGCAUGGCUGGG
This is a non-coding RNA of Loxodonta africana (African savanna elephant), 370 nucleotides long. Lineage: Eukaryota; Metazoa; Chordata; Mammalia; Proboscidea; Elephantidae. The record is from Rfam.